Molecule: ribosomal RNA, 467 nt
Filed under: uncultured bacterium
Lineage: Bacteria
Description: partial 16S ribosomal RNA
Rfam family: Bacterial small subunit ribosomal RNA
Source: RNAcentral
GAUGAACGCUGGCGGCGUGCUUAACACAUGCAAGUCGAGCGGAAAGGCCUCUGCUUGCAGGGGUACUCGAGUGGCGAACGGGUGAGUAACACGUGGGUGAUCUGCCCUGCACUUCGGGAUAAGCCUGGGAAACUGGGUCUAAUACCGGAUAGGACAAUGGUUUGGAUGCUGUUGUGGAAAGUUUUUCGGUGUGGGAUGAGCUCGCGGCCUAUCAGCUUGUUGGUGGGGUAAUGGCCUACCAAGGCGUCGACGGGUAGCCGGCCUGAGAGGGUGUACGGCCACAUUGGGACUGAGAUACGGCCCAGACUCCUACGGGAGGCAGCAGUGGGGAAUAUUGCACAAUGGGCGCAAGCCUGAUGCAGCGACGCCGCGUGGGGGAUGACGGCCUUCGGGUUGUAAACUCCUUUCGCUAGGGACGAAGCGUUUUUGUGACGGUACCUGGAGAAGAAGCACCGGCUAACUACGUG